This 308-nucleotide ribosomal RNA is filed under the name Membracis flava. RNAcentral's name for it is "partial 12S small subunit ribosomal RNA". The record is from RNAcentral. Lineage: Eukaryota; Metazoa; Arthropoda; Insecta; Hemiptera; Membracidae.
CCAGAAAAAAAGUAGCUACGUUCUUCACAACUCAAAGAAUUUGGCGGUUAAUGAAAACCUCAGAGGAACCUGUAUGUUAAUCGAUAAACCACGAUAAGGUUCAUCUUUAUUUUUAUUUGUAUAUCUCUAUACAAAUGGAAUGUUUUUCUAGAAUUAUUUUCUUUAAGGUUAAUCCUUUAAUUUUAGGUCAAGGUGCAGUUCUAUAAAGGUUCAUAUGGGUUACUUCAAUUUUUAUUUAUUAUUUAAUUCUUAAAGAAUCAAUUUUAGGAUUUGACAGUAAUUAAAAUUAAUUAAUUUUUUUGAAUUAU